RNAcentral lists this long non-coding RNA (2383 nucleotides) under Gossypium barbadense (sea-island cotton). RNAcentral describes it as "long non-coding RNA (GBAR_LNC001504)". Lineage: Eukaryota; Viridiplantae; Streptophyta; Magnoliopsida; Malvales; Malvaceae. The record is from RNAcentral.
CUUAAGUACCAAGCUCCCUUCGGAUCCAAUCCUAGACAUGCAUACUGCCAUUGCCACACCUUAACAUCAUGGAUAUUUCUAGGAAACCGAUUUGAUUAAGUCAUUUUUAGGAAAAGUGAUUAAUUUUGGAAAAUACUUUCAUUGCGGAAGUUUUGCUUGUUAUCGUGUUAUUUUGAAAUCAAUUGUUGUUUUUGAAAACGCACCCUAAAGCUAUCCAAUUUCAACAGUUAAAAUAAGUAAUACCUAUCUUAGUAAUACAUAUUAAAACCAUCAAAAAUAAUUAAGCGGCCUUAUUACAUUUAAAAGCUCAAAACUUCAAACGUAAAUAAAAGGAUGUCCAGUUCACCAGAAGAAAAUCAAACUUUCAGAACAGGUGGCCACUCCGAAUUCCCUCACAGCUCCAAGCCCACUAUGGUUGGGGAUUUCCUGCGUGGAUGAAAAUAAAAGGGGUGAGUUUGGGGAAACUCAGUGUGUAAGGAAAACCCAUUCAAAGCCCAAGUCAGCUCAAGCCCAUUGGGCCUAAGCCCAUUCAGGUAACAGUGAUACUGGGCCAGAGCCCUUUUCAGAUUACAAUAAACUGGGCCUUAGCCCCUUAUUCAGAUAACAGUAUGGCCCAUAGGCCCAUUUCAAAAUACAUGCAACAUCAAUAAACAUAUGCAAGCCCAUUUGGGGAGACUACUCAACCCACCAACCACUACACUCCACCCGUACCAGCCAUACACUCCAUGUGGGGAAUAGCUCAACCCACCCAGCCCAACACUCCACAGUUGCAGCCUUACUGCUCAGUUAACAGUAAAUUGAGGCAAAGCCUCUAGUACGUGGACAAGCCACUUUCAGUACUUCCUCCGUCAAUAUCCCAAUCCCAUGCAUCAGAUAAUAACAACAUGGCAUGCAGUAAAUAACAACAGUCAAACAUGCAUUUAGGUCAAUUUAACCCUAGGGGUAUUUCGGUAAUUUAUCUACUAUGGGUAAAACUGUAAAUUUUCUACUUUUAAAGGUAUUUCAGUAAUUUAUCUAUUUUAGGGUUUUUCAUGCAUAUUCCUACUUUUCACGUACUAACAGAAUCACGUACCGAGGGUUCUUACCGAAUUGGGCCCGUUGGCCCAUCAUUCCAAUUUUGGCCCAUUAAGCCCAAAAAUAUGGAGGGCACAGAAAUCAUGCACUUUGCAGUCCAAAUUUUGCAGCUUACCAAAAACAUUAAUCGAUUUACCUCACGAGCAUUCGUACACUCGCAAAUCUACAAAAUACCGGUUUUCGACUUUUCGACUUUUGCCGAUCCAGACUAAGAAAGAGGGUGUUAGUUUCACACCUGUUUGCGACGAUAUGCUGACGAAAUCCACACACGAACCGCCUACAAUUGGAUUACUAACACGUUAAUCUAACUAUUCAAAUAAAAACUACGUAUUAACCCCUUACAAUAUUCGGCCAACCACACCUACAGAUCAUAGUAAGCUUAUAAGAAAACAAUAAGCAACUCAUUAACAAAUUUUUGUCAAUGUUUACCACAUAAUCAUAAUUUCACUGCAAGUUGUCUUCCUGAGCAACGGUCACUAAAUCACUUAUAACUGGAGCUAUGAAACUCCAAAUCAAGUUCUGUUAAUUUUCCUUGAAAAUAGACUCAUAUAUAUUCUAUCCAUAAAAUUUUCAGAAUUUUUGGUUUAUCCAAUCAAUACCAGAUUUUUCUCAAAGUUUCCCAUGUUUCACUGUUUGACUAAUCUGACCACUCUUCAUUACGAAUCAAAUUUCUCAUUGUACAGAAUUCAAAAUAUGUUCUCGUUUAUUUCAUUUGAAACUAGACUCAUUAAGAUUUAAUUACAUAAUUUAUUCAGCUUCUAACUCAUCUCCCACAAUUUAUAGUGAUUUUCCAAAGUCACGUUACUGCUACUGUCCCAAGCAGAUUUAUUACCAAAUCACUCUUUCACACCUAACUUGCAUGCUUGUUAUUUAAACAUGUAUAUCACCAAUCAAUCAUCACAUAUUUAUGAUUUUACUUAAGUAUAAUCUCCAUUUCAUCAUUUUAAAGCACAACAUGUUAGCUGAUUUUUCCCUUUAACAUCUAAGGCACAUGCAUGCUCAUUUGUUUGGCUCAACUUCACCUAUCUUCCAUUUUUCAUCAAAAGAACAUGAAACAACAACCAUUUCUUUCGUCUUAAUUCAUGACUAAAUGCUCACAACACAACUAAAAACCAAAAUAUGCUUCAAGAGUUAAGGUAGAAUCAAGAAGAACUCAUGAACCUCAUAAUAAAAGCAAACUACCAUGAACUUACCUUCAAUUUUUCUUCCCCAAGUGACCGAACAUUCAAGAGCUUUCUCCUCUCCUUUAUCUUCUCUAACUUUAGGCUAUGAUGAACAAAGAUGGACAAAACUUUGUUCUUUUCACCCC